UACGUAGGGGGCAAGCGUUGUCCGGAUUUAUUGGGCGUAAAGAGCGUGUAGGCGGCUUGGUAGGUCCGCUGUGAAAACUCGAGGCUCAACCUCGAGAUGUCGGCGGAAACCACUUGGCUAGAGUCCGGAAGAGGAGAAUGGAAUUCCUGGUGUAGCGGUGAAAUGCGCAGAUAUCAGGAAGAACACCCGUGGCGAAGGCGGUUCUCUGGGCCGAUACUGACGCUGAGGAGCGAAAGCGUGGGGAGCGAACAGG
This 253-nucleotide ribosomal RNA is filed under the name uncultured bacterium. RNAcentral's name for it is "partial 16S ribosomal RNA". It matches the Rfam family "Bacterial small subunit ribosomal RNA", at positions 524 to 776 of the family's 1533-position model. The record is from RNAcentral.